UGCGACCUCAGGUCGGCGGGGGCUAA
Molecule: ribosomal RNA, 26 nt
Filed under: Pomaderris obcordata
Lineage: Eukaryota; Viridiplantae; Streptophyta; Magnoliopsida; Rosales; Rhamnaceae
Description: partial 26S ribosomal RNA
Source: RNAcentral